Molecule: non-coding RNA, 197 nt
Organism: Triticum aestivum (bread wheat)
Lineage: Eukaryota; Viridiplantae; Streptophyta; Magnoliopsida; Poales; Poaceae
Source: Rfam
AUACCUUUCUUGGCCUUUUGGCUAAGAUCAAGUGUAGUAUCUGUUCUUAUCAGUUUAAUAUCUGAUAUGUGGGCCAUGUGCCCACAAUGAUAUUAAAUUUAUUUUUUGUGGGGGAGGGGCCACCACAAUGGCUUGCCAUUGGGUCCCUCAGGUGUCGCCUAGUGCGUUGCAUUACUGCCUGGGCAGGUACACCCCAA